UAUACUUGGGAGUCAGACUGUGGGUGAUAAGAUUCAUAGUCGAAAGGGCAACAGCCCAGAUCGUCAGCUAAGGUCCCUAAAUGUAAGUUAAGUGGUAAAGGAUGUGGGAUUGCACAGACAACCAGGAUGUUGGCUUAGAAGCAGCCACUCAUUCAAAGAGUGCGUAAUAGCUCACUGGUCGAGUGAUCCUGCGCCGAAGAUUUCCGGGGCUAAAACUUACUACCGAAGCUACGGCAUCAGUAAUGAUGGGUAGGGGAGCUUCCCAUACGGGUUGAAGCAUGACCGUAAGGACAUGUGGACAGUAUGGGAGUGAGAAUGUUGGCAUGAGUAGCGAGAUGUGGGUGAGAAUCCCACAGGCCGUAAACCCAAGGUUUCCAGGGGAAGGUUCGUCCGCCCUGGGUUAGUCGGGACCUAAGCUGAGGCCGAAAGGCGUAGGUGAUGGACAACAGGUUGAUAUUCCUGUACUACCGAUAACCGUUUGAGAGAAGGGAUGACACAGUAGGAUAAGCUAAGCACACUGUUGGUUAUGUGUGCCCAAGCAUUGAGGCAGUCAAAGUAGGCAAAUCCGCUUUGAUAAUGCUGGGAUGUGAUGGGGAGCGAAAUUUAGUAGCGAAGUAGCUGAUUUCACACUGUCAAGAAAAGUCUCUAUCGAGGUUAAAGGUACCCGUACCGCAAACCGACACAGGUGGGUGAGGAGAGUAUCCUAAGGCCAGCGAGAGAACUGUUGUUAAGGAACUCGGCAAAAUGACCCCGUAACUUAGGGAUAAGGGGUGCCACCAUCAGGUGGCCGCAGAGAAUAGGCCCAAGCGACUGUUUACCAAAAACAUAGGUUUCUGCUAAGUCGCAAGACGAUGUAUAGGAGCUGACGCCUGCCCGGUGCUGGAAGGUUAAGGGGAUCUGUUAGAGCAAUCGAAGCAGUGAACUUAAGCCCCAGUAAACGGCGGCCGUAACUAUAACGGUCCUAAGGUAGCGAAAUUCCUUGUCGGGUAAGUUCCGACCCGCACGAAAGGCGUAACGAUUUGGGCACUGUCUCAACAACAGACUCGGUGAAAUUGUAAUUCCGGUGAAGAUGCCGGAUACCUGCGACAGGACGGAAAGACCCCAUGGAGCUUUACUGUAGCUUGACAUUGGGUCUUGGUACUACAUGUACAGGAUAGGUGGGAGGCUUUGAAACCAGGACGCCAGUUUUGGCGGAGCCAUCCUUGGGAUACCACCCUUGUAGUACUGGGACUCUAACCAUAGGCCAUGAAUCUGGUCUUGGGACACUGUCAGGUGGGCAGUUUGACUGGGGCGGUCGCCUCCCAAAAGGUAACGGAGGCGCUCAAAGGUUCUCUCAGUACGGUCGGAAAUCGUACGUAGAGUGUAAAGGCAAAAGAGAGCUUGAUUGCAAGACAUACAGGUCGAGCAAGGAUGAAAAUCGGACUUAGUGAUCCGGUGGUUCUGCGUGGAAGGGCCAUCGCUCAACGGAUAAAAGCUACCCUGGGGAUAACAGGCUUAUCUCCCCCAAGAGUCCACAUCGACGGGGAGGUUUGGCACCUCGAUGUCGGCUCAUCACAUCCUGGGGCUGUAGUAGGUCCCAAGGGUUGGGCUGUUCGCCCAUUAAAGUGGUACGCGAGCUGGGUUCAGAACGUCGUGAGACAGUUCGGUCCCUAUCCGUCGCAGGCGUAGGAAAUUUGAGAAGACCUGUCCUUAGUACGAGAGGACCGGGAUGGACG
RNAcentral lists this ribosomal RNA (1715 nucleotides) under Clostridioides difficile. Its description in RNAcentral is "partial 23S ribosomal RNA". It matches the Rfam family "Bacterial large subunit ribosomal RNA", at positions 972 to 2703 of the family's 2925-position model. The record is from RNAcentral. Lineage: Bacteria; Bacillati; Bacillota; Clostridia; Peptostreptococcales; Peptostreptococcaceae.